Molecule: ribosomal RNA, 480 nt
Filed under: uncultured bacterium
Lineage: Bacteria
Description: SSU rRNA
Rfam family: Bacterial small subunit ribosomal RNA
Source: RNAcentral
AGGACGAACGCUGGCGGCGUGCUUAACACAUGCAAGUCACGGGGGCCCGCAAGGGCAACCGGCGAACGGGUGCGUAACACGUGAGCAACCUGCCUAGAUGUGGGGGAUAGCCGGCCCAACGGCCGGGUAAUACCGCAUACGGUCACGAGGAGGAGUCUCCUUGUGAAGAAACCUCCGGGGCAUUUAGAGGGGCUCGCGGCCUAUCAGCUAGUUGGCGGGGUAAUGGCCCACCAAGGCUUCGACGGGUAGCUGGUCUGAGAGGAUGGCCAGCCACAUUGGGACUGAGAGACGGCCCAGACUCCUACGGGAGGCAGCAGUGGGGAAUCUUGCGCAAUGGCCGAAAGGCUGACGCAGCGACGCCGCGUGUGGGAGGACGCCCUUCGGGGUGUAAACCACUGUUGCCCGGGACGAACAUCCACUUUCGAGUGGACUGACGGUACCGGGUGAGGAAGCACCGGCUAACUCCGUGCCAGCAGCCGC